Molecule: ribosomal RNA, 465 nt
Filed under: uncultured bacterium
Lineage: Bacteria
Description: partial 16S ribosomal RNA
Rfam family: Bacterial small subunit ribosomal RNA
Source: RNAcentral
GACGAACGCUGGCGGCGUGCUUAACACAUGCAAGUCGAACGGAAAGGCCCUGCUUGCAGGGUACUCGAGUGGCGAACGGGUGAGUAACACGUGGGUGAUCUGCCCUGCACUUCGGGAUAAGCCUGGGAAACUGGGUCUAAUACCGGAUAGGAGCCAUUUUUAGUGUGAUGGUAGGAAAGUUUUUUCGGUGUAGGAUGAGCUCGCGGCCUAUCAGCUUGUUGGUGGGGUAAUGGCCUACCAAGGCGGCGACGGGUAGCCGGCCUGAGAGGGUGGACGGCCACAUUGGGACUGAGAUACGGCCCAGACUCCUACGGGAGGCAGCAGGGGGGAAUAUUGCACAAUGGGCGCAAGCCUGAUGCAGCGACGCCGCGUGGGGGAUGACGGCCUUCGGGUUGUAAACUCCUUUCGCUAGGGACGAAGCUUUUUGUGACGGUACCUAGAUAAGAAGCACCGGCUAACUACGUG